This 301-nucleotide ribosomal RNA is filed under the name uncultured bacterium. RNAcentral's name for it is "partial 16S ribosomal RNA". It matches the Rfam family "Bacterial small subunit ribosomal RNA", at positions 509 to 809 of the family's 1533-position model. The record is from RNAcentral.
CAGUCGCCGCGGUAAUACGGAGGGUGCAAGCGUUAAUCGGAAUUACUGGGCGUAAAGCGCACGCAGGCGGUCUGACAAGUCAGAUGUGAAAUCCCCGGGCUUAACCUGGGAACUGCAUUUGAAACUGUCAGGCUGGAGUCUUGUAGAGGGGGGUAGAAUUCCAGGUGUAGCGGUGAAAUGCGUAGAGAUCUGGAGGAAUACCGGUGGCGAAGGCGGCCCCCUGGACAAAGACUGACGCUCAGGUGCGAAAGCGUGGGGAGCAAACAGGAUUAGAUACCCGAGUAGUCCCUGUCCUCUUAUA